AUGGAUCAGAAGGGAAAGUCCAAUGUUGUUGAAGAGUUCGUGCAAACGGCAUCUGGUGGCGUCAGGACGUACAAGGACAAAGAGGCAUCGGAGCACGAUACUGCCAGCAGUCCUCUCGACGUGUUGCAAUCACAGUCAUGCUGCCGGACAUGCAAGAAUGACCGUGGGAAUUGCAGUAAUGAUGGAACAACAAAACGUUGUGUUGAAGUAACUCUGCGCCAGACAUUUUGUAAAAGUGUGAAUAUUACAUGUGACAUGAGAGAAGCCGUAAAUAGCAUCUCAGGAAAUAAAGUUGUCCUAUGUACCCCUGAAGGUUUUCACUAUAAGGUCAAUGUGACUAAAAGGAUUGAUGUCACGAGUAUUCAUGGUGCUAGAUGGAACGAGUUUCUAUUUGAUUACAAUCUAUUGGAGGGAGAUAAAGUUCUAGUUAUAGUUACAAUAUAUGGUUUGCUUGUUGCUGCCAUAAGUAAGGAAAAUGUUUUUAAAAUCAGGUCACCGACAGCAGUUGCACAGAGUGUUGAAGAUGAUGUCAAACGUAUUAUAGAUGAUGUUGUGAUGACGAGAGGUUGUCGUCUAUGGUGGAUGAAGAUGAUAAUUUGGUUCAAUUAA
This 609-nucleotide ribosomal RNA is filed under the name Triticum aestivum (bread wheat). Its description in RNAcentral is "partial small subunit ribosomal RNA". The record is from RNAcentral. Lineage: Eukaryota; Viridiplantae; Streptophyta; Magnoliopsida; Poales; Poaceae.